Molecule: microRNA precursor, 102 nt
Filed under: Pelobates cultripes (western spadefoot toad)
Lineage: Eukaryota; Metazoa; Chordata; Amphibia; Anura; Pelobatidae
Source: RNAcentral
UGUUUGCAUAGUGUGUGUAUAUAAUGCAGUGUGUUUGUGUAGUGUGUUUAUAUAAUGCACACUACACAAACACACUGCAUUAUAUACACACACUAUACAAAC